This 85-nucleotide transfer RNA is filed under the name Macromonas bipunctata. RNAcentral's name for it is "tRNA-Pro". RNAcentral also lists the same sequence under 1 other name. Lineage: Bacteria; Pseudomonadati; Pseudomonadota; Betaproteobacteria; Burkholderiales; Comamonadaceae. The record is from RNAcentral.
GCCGGCGUAGGCCGACAGGUACUGCAUGGCAGCGGACUCGGAAGCCGAAGCGGCGACGACGAUGGUGUAUUCCAUCGCGCCGGCU